UGGGGAAUAUUGGACAAUGGGCGCAAGCCUGAUCCAGCCAUGCCGCGUGAGUGAUGAAGGCCCUAGGGUUGUAAAGCUCUUUCACCGGUGAAGCGGUAACCGGAGAAGAAGCCCCGGCUAACUUCGUGCCAGCAGCCGCGGUAAUACGAAGGGGGCUAGCGUUGUUCGGAAUUACUGGGCGUAAAGCGCACGUAGGCGGAUAUUUAAGUCAGGGGUGAAAUCCCAGAGCUCAACUCUGGAACUGCCUUUGAUACUGGGUAUCUUGAGUAUGGAAGAGGUGAGUGGAAUUCCGAGUGUAGAGGUGAAAUUCGUAGAUAUUCGGAGGAACACCAGUGGCGAAGGCGGCUCACUGGUCCAUUACUGACGCUGAGGUGCGAAAGCGUGGGGAGCAAACAGGAUUAGAUACCCCGGUAGU
This 415-nucleotide ribosomal RNA is filed under the name uncultured bacterium. RNAcentral describes it as "bacterial SSU rRNA". It matches the Rfam family "Bacterial small subunit ribosomal RNA", at positions 355 to 794 of the family's 1533-position model. The record is from RNAcentral.